Leptinotarsa decemlineata (Colorado potato beetle) is the source of this 1545-nucleotide long non-coding RNA. RefSeq lists it as uncharacterized. NCBI's taxonomy places the organism in Eukaryota, Metazoa, Arthropoda, Insecta, Coleoptera, Chrysomelidae. The record is from RefSeq and is a predicted model, not a curated record.
GUUGUUUACGUUUACUGUUUACGGCUUGCCGUAAUUUGCUGGAAUAAACCAGAAAUUAGGUUUUAUACAUAAAAUAUUGUUCCAGAAUGAUUCUUUGAAUAGUUGGGGAGUAUUUUUUAAAAAACCUAAAUUUUAUCAUGAAACACUAAAACAUUUUGUUUAGGUGUAUGAAGAGGACUUAUAUUGAGAGAAAAAAAUGACUUGGAAACCCCUGUCUUUUUAUGAAUUUCCACCAUCUAAUGAUUUGGUACUAACAUUUAUCAAAAGGUUACUUGACCCCAAGGCUGAUAGACUUGGGAAUUGGAAAACCACUGCCUUCGAAGCAGAUUUUGAUUCGACUGUUGAUGUCGAUGAAGAUAAGUUCCAGGUCAAUCUUAACGUUUAACAACACUUCUAACCUGAAGAAAUAUCUGUAAAAGUGACUGGAGAAGAUGAAGAGAAAAAUGUUGAAUAUGGUCAAAUUUUCAGACAUUUCAUUAGGCACUAUGCCUUAACUAUGAACGUUUUGAUCCCAAUAAAGAACAGCCAAAGAAAAUGUAGAAAUAUUCCGAUCAUCCAAACAGAAGAACCUGCUUGUAAGAAAAGAAAAUGUGAGGCCUCCUAAUUUUUUAAUAUUAGGGAGUGAUCAAUUUUUUGUUGUGUUUUCCAUUGGUAAAACUCAUGUCACUGCUAAAACCACAGAAUAUUUAAACCUAACAGUACAACCAGCACCAGCUCUUUGAGGUGGAUUGGCUUCAGUGCUUGGUAAAAUGGCAUGAAAAUACAAUAUCAUCUUCAUCUUGUAGUGAAGUAAUUGAAAUAGUAGCUUCAAUACCCGUGGAACAAGAUAAACAAUUUCAACACAUUAUAAUAAGUUUGUCAUGAUGAAACAAGCUGGACUGAAGUAAAAAAUCAUAGGUAAUUUUUUUUUUCAAUAUUAGCGAAAUUUCAGGAAGAAGCACCUUUCGUGAUGAUUGAUGAAUUCAAGUAUAGCAUAUUCUUUUCGAAAAAUCUAACUCACAGUGAAUAGACCUUCAACUUUAGUAACCUCACACAUAAAUGAUUUCUAUUGUCUUGCAUUUGAAUAAGACACUUUUCUAUUUGAAACUAAUUGAUACAGUUUAUUGAAUAGCUUCCUCAAGCGCUUAAGGAAGCUAUUGUAUAGCAAAACACGUAUGGCGGUUUUUGUAAUAAUAAUAAUAGCUUUAUUGUCCAACAGUUACCCAUUUACAGGACAAUAUAAAAUUUUAUUCACAAUACUUAACUAUAAAUGAAAAAUAAAAUGAACAAAAAAGAAAAACUAAUUCUAAUUACCUACUUCAAGUACAUGUUAGCAAUUAAUUAAUAAUGUUAUGAUGGUUAGUGAAGAAUAAAUCACCAUGGGUACAAAUGCUAUUGAAAUUUGUGCACAUAACAUAUAUUGGGGAAUUGAGCGUAAUGUUAGUUCUUGCUCUGAGAGGUCUAAAAAUGGAUUUAGAUUGUGAAGCUGGCCGUGGUACAUUGAAGUUAAUUUGUUCAAGAAUUUUAGACAGUCAACUCUCUCAUUCACUAACUUGAAAAAAUAUG